This 529-nucleotide long non-coding RNA is filed under the name Pan troglodytes (chimpanzee). Its description in RNAcentral is "long non-coding RNA NONPTRT000611". Lineage: Eukaryota; Metazoa; Chordata; Mammalia; Primates; Hominidae. The record is from RNAcentral.
CUACUGGUACCUUACCAAUGAGGGUAUCCAGUAUCUCUGUGAUUACCUUCACCUGCCCUCGGAGAUUGUGCCUGCCACCCUACACUGCAGCUGUCCAGAGACUGGCAGGCCUUGGCCUAAAGUCUGGAGGGUGAACGACCUGCAAGACUCACAAGAGGGGAAGCCAACAGAGAUACCUACAAACGGAGUGCUGUGCCCCCUGGUGCCAACGAGAAAGCCGAGGCUGGGGCUGGGUCAGCAACCAAAUUCCAGUUCAGAGAUGGAUUUGGUUGUGGACAUGGUCAGCCACCUCAGUAAAAUUGGAGAGGAUUAUUAUGCAAUGAAUAAACUUACAGUCAAAAAAAAAAAACUUAAGAAAGAAAGCUGCGGAAGAGUGCAGUGAGGUGCCUCAGCAUGAGAAAAAGACAGGGUCUCGCUCUGCCAUCCGGGAAAGAGUGCAGCGGUGUGAUCAUAGCUCACUGUAACUUGUAACUCCUGGACUCAAGCAAUCCUCCCACCUCAGCCUUCCGAGUAGCUAGAACUACAGGUA